Molecule: small nucleolar RNA, 143 nt
Organism: Echinops telfairi (small Madagascar hedgehog)
Lineage: Eukaryota; Metazoa; Chordata; Mammalia; Afrosoricida; Tenrecidae
Source: Ensembl
CUACUCAAAGUUAUUUUUUGUGGCAAGGUUUUUUUUCAAUAAUCCCUACCAGUUUGGGCUAUUUGGGAAAAUAAAGAGAAGGCCACACUCCCCAGUGGGCUAUACCACUUAGUAUAGUUCACUACUAUUUUGUGGCCUACAUU